GACGAACGCUGGCGGCGUGCUUAACACAUGCAAGUCGAACGGAAAGGCCCUGCUUUUGUGGGGUGCUCGAGUGGCGAACGGGUGAGUAACACGUGAGUAACCUGCCCUUGACUUUGGGAUAACUUCAGGAAACUGGGGCUAAUACCGGAUAGGAGCUCCUGCUGCUUGGUGGGGGUUGGAAAGUUUCGGCGGUUGGGGAUGGACUCGCGGCUCAGCAGCUUGUCGGUGGGGUAGUGGCUUACCAAGGCUUUGACGGGUGGCCGGCCUGAGAGGGUGACCGGCCACAUUGGGACUGGGAUACGACCCAGACGCCUACGGGAGGCAGCGGUGGGGAAUUUUGCACAAUGGGCGGAAGCCUGAUGCAGCAACGCCGCGUGCUGGAUGACGGCCUUCGGGUUGUAAACCGCUUUCGCCUGUGACGAAGCGUGAGUGACGGUAAUGUGUAAAGAAGCACCGGCUAACUACGUG
Molecule: ribosomal RNA, 468 nt
Filed under: uncultured bacterium
Lineage: Bacteria
Description: partial 16S ribosomal RNA
Rfam family: Bacterial small subunit ribosomal RNA
Source: RNAcentral